Molecule: long non-coding RNA, 310 nt
Filed under: Brachypodium distachyon (stiff brome)
Lineage: Eukaryota; Viridiplantae; Streptophyta; Magnoliopsida; Poales; Poaceae
Description: long non-coding RNA (BDIS_LNC002550)
Source: RNAcentral
UAAAGGAAAUAUAUUAUUUUACAGAAUUUUUUUGAAUUUUUCUGAUGCCAUUUGAUAUUUUAAAUGAUUUAAAUGGAAUUUCGGAUGAAUUAAAAAUCCUGAAAAGUAUUUAUUAAUUCUUUUCUUCUAUUCUUUUUCUUUUUCCUCCGGAAAUACGCUUUCUCUGCAGGAAAACGUAUUCUUAGAGAAAUGCGCUUUCUAUCUCUCUCUCUCUCUCUCUGACAGGUGGGGCCCGCCUGUCAUCCCCCACCUCCGGCCACCACGUCCACGAUCUCCGCCGUCUCCAGCCGCCGCCGGUGCCGCGCCGCCG